UAAUAGCUUGUAAACUCUGUUCGGACUUUGAAUUGAGGUCCUCAAGGCCGAUUUCGUGAUAGGAACAGCGAGUCUGGUCGUCAAUAUCAGGAUUUCGUUUUAGAUGUCCAUUUUUAACCAGUUUUAAAACAGGUCUUGAUAAAUAUGCAACGGGGUCGUGGGCUUGGUGGGAAUCAUUUGGCAAUGAUAAUGGGAAAAAGGCUCACGGGUCAAAAGCCUCUUUUUCGGGUCUGUUUGAUGCACUUCAGUUUGAAAACGUGAGGACUGCUUUGUUUUAAAUCAUGACAGUUACGGCGAGGUCAAUCCUCUGUAAUCAAAAUUUGGUUCGAAUGAUUCAACGUACUCAUAGAUAUGAAAGGAGACGAAAAUUAUAUUAGAAAAAUGAUAGCAGAUUUAUUUCAUAAAAUGUGACACGUUUAAAAGAGUUCUCGGUUGUAACUGGAAAUCUAUCCGAGUUCUAAAAAUGUAGAUCUAGUGCAGACACACGAAAAGACCUUGAGCAUCACUCACUGAUUUCUAACUGUUUUCCAGUAUCUUGAAACUCUUCGGUCUCAUUCUUUUUUUGAUACUUAUUUAAUUGGCCAGGAUUGAUUUUGUAUUCAAGAAAGCGGCGGUCAAAAGCCCAAACGUCCAUAGGACACAAAUUUCAUGAAAUUUGAACCUCGUUGCGCUUUCAACUAUUCCUGGCGGGGGAAAUUGCAUCUGCCCCUCGGUCAAUUUGCCACCAAAAGUGGCCGUCUAGAUUGAUACUAAUUGUGCCCAUCAAUCUGAGCGGGAGGUAACAGACUGGUUAGGGCGCGGCAGAGGGCCAUUUUUUGGACCCGGGCAGAUCGGGCAGGGCUACAUUCGGCCCAGCUGUCUUGGUCAAUUAAAGGAGUAAUCUCUCAGGUGGCGAGAAUUGAGGGCGUCAUAAAAAAGUAUCAUCAGCUCCCUCCCCGGAAAAUUGCACUUCUGCUCGGCACGGAAAAGUGGUUUCAAGCAUGGUUAGUCGACUGGCUUGCUUUUGCCAUACGUAGCAUUCCAUCUUGUUCUUCUUGUUAUACAGUUAGUUCUUCAUCCUCUUUUCCGAAUCCGUUUCAUGAGACUGGAAUGCACGAAGCUGCUCGGAAAUGACGAUGCUGGAGGGGCCGAACCACAACGAGUUAAAAGUGGUGAUUGGACGAGGUUAAAAUGACACUUUUUCCCUCUGCGAAAGACGUCGUGCGUGAAAGAGCUCAAGUUUUGGCAUUGCCAAAAUGCUUUUCCGCCGAGCACAGGAUUUGGAUCUGAAUGUUUGUGAGUUCCAGAAGAUUUAAGAAGCAUAAGAAUCCUCCUCAGCAUUUGUGCAACCGUUCAGCUCAUGAGUCCCACAAAAGCUAGGGUCGGAGGAGUUCAAAACACUGAGACGUUCGAGGCUCAAAUUUUUUUGAAAAGGACCUUGAACCAUAGUACUUGAACGUGCUGCAAGAAAUGACCAUUGUGUGGAGUUCAAGAAUUCCUCUCCUUCCCACGAUGGGACGUGGUUGAACCUAACUUCGGCCUUCUUGUGAUCCAUCCGUUUUAAGUCGAUGUGGCUGGCCUUCAUAUCUUGGUGAGCGGACAAUGGGUCGCGAGAAAUGUGUCUCGGUCGUGAAGACUGGCCCUGGCCUCUUUUAUUGAAUUAGAGGCUGUCAAAACCUUGGGUGACAUAAUUAGAGGCCGGCAAGAACAGAAAUGGCACACAUUAUAGCAGCACAAAAAACAACGGUUGCUCUGGAGAAUAAUCCCGGACAGCUGUCACUGGUCUGCAUGGCCGCGGGAUAAUCGGCUGAAAUGAAAUGGAAACCAAUCAACAGAUAAGGAGACAUUGUGAGACCCAGGAAAAUGCUUGGCGCCGUUUUUUUCUUUCAAAGCGACACUCACUGUCCAAAACAUGAAGCAUGACCCUGGCCUUGUCCAUUUGGGCUGGAUGGCAUGUGUAUUCUCCACUAUCCGAUUUUGUGGCUUCUAGAAUGGUCAGAGUACUCAUGGUGGUCCCUUCGGCAAUGUGCUCUGGAGGAGUGGCUUGAAUUCGGGUGUGGCCGCCCAAUCCGGGUGAAAGGCGUUGCUCAUUGUGCCGCCAUUCGAUGUAAUUGGGCGGCUCCAAGGACUGCGAUAUCACACACUUCAUAUGGACAGUACUCGAUGACUUCACAAAUAUAUCCUGAUCUCCGAAGAUAUGAACCUUGGGAACUAGAAAGAGAAGCAAAUUCCGAAUGAGCUUCAGCAGUCCCGAAACUCGCCCCAUUCGAGCUAACUUUCAUCCACCAUUUAUGGUCCAUAAAUGCGUACAUGGUUGCUCUUCCAUUGAUUAAGUGCCUUCAAAGUGGGUUAAUCAGCCAGUCUCCAAGUUUGAGAGCCAUAAUUUGAACCCCUCUGGGUUUCCCCCUUCCCAUCCCUAUUUGACUUCCUUUCCUUGAUUUGACUGGGGCUGGUCUGGUAGCCCCUUGGGUUCUUACUGUACGUGUUGUCCCCCUUUUCAUUCAUGGAACACACUAAAUCAAACACGGCAAUGGAAAGUGAAUCCUUAAUAUCGGCUUUGUUCACCCUGUUACCCUCCUGUGUGUGUGGGUGGGUGGGUGGACCCAUUUUUGGUGUCCCUGCAUAAUCCACCAUGUGUUCAAAGUGGCUUCUCGGAAUCCAGUUCCAAAUGUUCUUCGUGUGUCAACCUAUCGAGCAUUUGGUUAGAAUGGCCUCAAAAGCAAUUUCACAAGCCAAUUCAUGUUCCUCAAAAAAUAAUGGCAAGGCUUGUGUUCCACUUCCUGGCAAUUUUUUUACGCAUUUGUCAGGACGGGUCAUUAUUCGAGUCGUUUGUUACUCUCAAGUGAAUCAACUUGGAGCCGCCUCGAUUUCGACUUGCAACGAUCAAUAGGGUCUCAAAUUGAAGCCAAUUAAACUUUCGUUUAGGAUUGGCACACUUUGUUGGCACUUGCAAUACAGGCUGGCACGGAUUUGCCGAAAUGGAUGAACAUGAAAGUUGUAACUUCACAAAAACUUCUCUCCCCCUUCCUUGCUUCUUUUUGUAAAACGCGUUAAUUUUUACCCCUUUGAGCCCCGUGCAACAAAGGGCAAAGUAGACCGACUACGCAUCCCACAGUAAUGGACCACAUUAUCCAAAGUUGGAUAGGGUGCAUGCAUUCCUGAACUAACUUAAUAUUCCGAGCAAGAUGGCAUAUUAGAUGGAAUAAAACACACCUCCAGUCUCA
This is a long non-coding RNA of Tigriopus californicus, 3203 nucleotides long. RefSeq lists it as uncharacterized. The record is from RefSeq and is a predicted model, not a curated record. Lineage: Eukaryota; Metazoa; Arthropoda; Copepoda; Harpacticoida; Harpacticidae. The transcript is spliced from 2 exons.